GCUAGGAGUGUUCUUGAGGCACACACAUUCAAGCACAGUGCGUGCGGCCUGAAGAGAGGGAAGAGGAAAAGUCCUGUGGGGACAGGGUUCCUGCCCAGCCUUCGUCCCCUCCUCAGCCUGGCAGGAUCUUGCUCUCAGGCUGCGUGUGGUCAUAGAAGCAACAGCAAUGUCACCCUUGGAGAGCCCUCCACGCUCCCCGUCUCAGGAGACACAGUCCAAUCUCUCACCCAGAACUCAAGGGAGGAAGACCCAAAAAAAUCUGCAAAAGACAAGUUAGAAGUGAGAAAAACCAGGAGCCGGGAGAAAUCCCCCUGCCCCACAGACUGCCCCCAAUGUCUGCUUCUGAAGGGGACAAGAACCCCAGACCUUGCUCUUCAUAGGCCUCGCUGCCUGGACACCCAUGUGGCAUCCGCCCCGAGCUGGAGGUGCAAAGCCAAGAUGAUUUAAUUUAUAGAAAGGACAAAGAUGUCGUGUAGCAGAUUUAAUCAUCGGAGAGUUUAAAAAAAAAAAAAUAAGGACUGGGCUAAUGUCGUAAUUUACAUUUCAGGAUAAUAAAGAGAGAAAGACAGAAAAGGAAGGGACCCAUAGCCUGCAAAAAGGGGAUGGAGAGGGGAGGCUGGCCAGGGGGCUCUGGGAGCCCAAUAGAUUUGCCUGGAACACCAAUAAAUUUUAAAAACAAACCCAGAAAGCUAAAGACAGCCCCUGGAAAGUGCUGGGAAAAUGGACCAUCGAUUUUAGACUUCAUCUGCAUUUUGUAUUUUAAUAAUGCUC
RNAcentral lists this small RNA (771 nucleotides) under Rattus norvegicus (Norway rat). Its description in RNAcentral is "uncharacterized LOC103692510". The record is from RNAcentral. Lineage: Eukaryota; Metazoa; Chordata; Mammalia; Rodentia; Muridae.